RNAcentral lists this ribosomal RNA (227 nucleotides) under uncultured bacterium. Its description in RNAcentral is "partial 16S ribosomal RNA". It matches the Rfam family "Bacterial small subunit ribosomal RNA", at positions 15 to 237 of the family's 1533-position model. The record is from RNAcentral.
GAUCCUGGCUCAGGAUGAACGCUAGCGGCAGGCUUAACACAUGCAAGUCGAGGGGCAGCGUGGGGCAGCAAUGCUCCGACGGCGACCGGCGGAAGGGUGCGUAACACGUGAGCGACUUGCCCGUCACAGGGGGGAUAACCGGCGGAAACGGCGACUAAUACCCCAUAUGAUGUGAUGCUGCAUGGCAUCGCAUUGAAAGAUUCAUCGGUGGCGGAUAGGCUCGCGGG